GAGAUUCCGUUACACUAUAAGCAUGUGACGAAUGUCAAUGUUUUGAUUUAAACUUUAAAGAUACCUUAGUCUGAUUGGUAAAAUAUAAUUAAAUUAAUUUAAAAAUAUAUAUUAUUUAUUAUGACGGCUUGAGACGAAACGAAAGGAGGACACGUCACGUAAAGGUAGCGCUCUAUCGUUUUAAGGUCUCGGUGUUCGCGGUUCGCCCUUUGUUGGGUCAGUCAAAAGUUCGACACGACAUCGUCGACAACGCCGUCACCCGUGCAUGUAUAAUAAUAGUUACAUGCAUCAGUAAAACAGUGUUUCAUUUUUCGUUAGAUAUUAUUUUUGAUUUUCAUUCAUUUUUAUUGUCACGUUAUGUACGAGUUUUAAUUAAAAUAGCCAUGUACUGUUAAACUGUAGUUUGUUAUUUACCUAUUUUAAUUUAAUUACAAUUUUUUUUUUUGGUAAUUUCUUCCAACGCCUCAAUGUUUGGCCAUCAUUUUAGAAAUUGCGUCCGAAUCGCCAACAAUGGAAGAUGAUAAAGGAGAAGGCCAUAGACGGUUGUUCUUCCAUCGGGACCAUCGAUAGCGAAGUGUUUACGAUUGGGAGGACAUUUUAAGAGACACUCGAGAUGAUGGACUAUGACGGAAGCGAAUAUUCUAUACUGUUCGGUAUCCGUCAGGUACCGUGUGAUGAAUAACUCGAGCAAAAGUUUCUUCAGAUGGAUUAUUUCAGAAAUAUUCUGCUGCUGGAAACAACAGAACGAACUUCCCGAAAACUUGGCCGUGAGCUACACGGAGAUAACGCACUCAAAUACGGCAGACGCGGUGGAACUGCAGCUGCGGAACUACGUGAACUCGCAAGAGCCGUACAAUCCGGAAGUGCACGGCUGGAGAGACAUCACGCCACCCGUUAUGCGAUCCGUCAAGCACAGCGAGCGAGCUACACAGCUGGUGACAGCCAUCCGUAUGUCAGGGCUACAGGACAUCGAAAUACUAGGCGUGCCCGAUGGACACAGCUAACGACGGCGUUUGCCGACACCGUCCCGUACGUCCAGACGCCGUCGUGAAUCUUGUACAUACAACACCGCCGUACCACGAAGUGUACAACAAUACCUACACGUCUCCAUUAUUGCGGCCAAAACGUCAAAACCCCUGUGGUUCUGUUACCAAUCCGUCACAAUAGCUGAUAUUAUAAUAUCUAUUAGAUCAUAUAUAGGUACCUACUAUUGUAUAUACCAUUGACCAUUGUAUAUCUAAGUAUAAUAUAGUAAUAAUUAAACCUAGGUAUCUAUAAAUGUUGCCUACAUUGAUUUGCACAAAUAAUAUAGAGCCAUAGAGGAAAAAUACCACCCCCAUAUUAUCUUGUUUUUUAUCUACACACUUCGGGGCGAAAACUUUCGAGCUGUUUUCGACAUUUUGCACCA
Molecule: RNA transcript, 1408 nt
Organism: Acyrthosiphon pisum (pea aphid)
Lineage: Eukaryota; Metazoa; Arthropoda; Insecta; Hemiptera; Aphididae
Exons: 6
Source: RefSeq, a predicted model, not a curated record